AGACAGAUAAUAAUUAUACCUAUAUUCAUCUACAUCGGAAGCUUAUCUUAAAUAGACUUUAUCACAAAGAUUAAAUAUUUUCAUAAAUCAAAGGUUGUCAUCAUUUUAUCAUUAAAUAACAAGUAGUUAGUCAUUUAAUAUUAAGUUUAAAUUCUAAACGAUCUUUAUUCUUAAGUUUAAAAAAGAAAUGAUUUCAGAUGGAUACACAAUCAUAAAGUCAUACAGAGUGUUUUACUAACAUUUGCACUUACCGGAAAACUUAUGGAAGAUCUUUUGGAAUAAAAUUAGGAUUUUUAAAAGUGACCAAGAGUAAUUGCUUGCUCUCCCGAUAUACAGAGUGCCUUUAAGAAAAAUGAACAUCAGGAAUGUUACCUUAGUCCAUUUAUUACAAUUAAUGGAAAAACACCAUAAAAGGAUUUACAUUUAUUUCCGCUUCAUAUACGUUGUAACUCUAUGUAGUUUCCGAAAUAGCAAUAACGAUAGACCAUCCAAUAUUCUGUGAAGAUUUGAAUGUUCAGUAAGUAUAUACAUGCAAUCCUCCUAUAUUCUUAGAAUCUUUCAGUUAAACAUUUCGAAUAUAUGUGACUCAUUAACUCAUUAGAAAAAGAUCUAAAAACCAUGUUUUCUGUAAUAUAAUAUUCACUUUCUACAUACACUUUGGAAAUAGGUAAAACUCACUCGGUACCAGAUCUAGUAAAUACGGUGCAUGGUCUACUAAUUAAAACUUUAAUUUUAAAACUUAAUUCUAGCCAUCAAAACGUAUGCGCUCGUGCAUUUACCUUGAUCAAAAAGACGUUACGAAAAUGACCAAUUUCUCGGGGUACUAACGCCUUUAAUUAUUCUGCAUUUUCUACCUUCAAUGUUAAAUGAAACACUCUUUAUAAAAAUUGUUACAAGAGAGACUAACCAAUUUUUAAACAUAACCAGCGUGAAAAAAUCUUCUAGUGAGGUAUCCGAGGUUACGCGAUAAUACUUAUAAUACUACCACAGGUAGAUAAAGCUCUUUGCGAAAUUCUCUGAAUCGGUUUAUUCCAAUCAGAGUCAUACUUAUCUUGAUAAUUUAUUAGAUAUAUCCGAGUUUUUCUUUAAACCUUUUGAGAUGUUUUCCUUUAUAUAUUAGCAAAAUAGCAAACCUGAACUUUUUUAAACCGGGUAAAAUAAUAAUGACAGUAUACAGAAGAGAUGAGUAUUUGUAAUCGGUCAAGAAAUUCAAAGGUUCUUGAUGAAUUGGUGGCCGCACUGCUUUCUACAUGCUUGUAAUGUAAUGAUAAUAGGUUUCUGCCACGUGGCUUGCACAAAAUUAUAACCUAACAUUUGCUAUGCUUAACUGUUUAUUAAGUGGAUAGAACUUAUACAGGUUGCUCUAAAGUAUUUGGUGAGGUAAAUCACCCACUACAUUUAAGCAAACUAUUUGCAAUUAUUAAAGUAUUUCGAUUACAGGUGGCUGAUUAUCUGUUUUCCUAUGAAUUGUCUGAUGCAUUCACCAAUUUUCGAAAUUAACACAUGCAAUAAUAAAUUAUCAUUGGUUUGCUAUGGCGUGCCUAGUGCCUAGAAUAAACAUGAGUGACAAUUUUAAAACUUCCCAGGGCCAUAUCUUAGGAAAUAAAACAUUUAAAAAAAAGUAUAUACUGUAGCGGAACGACCUCUAUCUUUGCUAUAGUUUGUUCUAUUAGAAAAUCGGGCGUCUUAAAUAUUUUCUUUAUUUGUGGAAAUGUAUGACAUUCUUUAAAGCCUACAUUUCUGCUCGGAGUAGUCUUAUGAUUAUUCCUUCGUUUGUCACCAUUUGAUAAAGAAGUGUGGCGCCUUUGACUCCGUGAUGUCGUUAAAAGGUUUUAAUCCGGGUUAGUGCCUUUAUUAUUAAAAGGUAAGGUUACAACUGUCCUGUUCUUGGCUAGCAAUUUAUAUUAUCUAUUUUAUUAUUAAAAGGUGUUAAAACUAAACCCGAAACUGAGGUGAAUAAACGGAGAUUUCCCGACACUAGUGGUUUCUUUGACCUACGAACCCCCGGGACUAAAAAUCCCAUUACAACUUGGCUGCCCAACUGGGACAAAGAAUCCACAUCUAUGGGUAAUCCACGACCUCCAGUAGUUCAUUCACCGAGGAACUUAAGAUCUCGAAGACCAUCAAACAUGGAUGGAUCUAGGAGCUUUUUAAUCGAAGAGAGGAAUACGACAGGACCAUUACCGACAGUCGGGGGCGAGUCCAGAAGGCAACGCAUCUACGGGGGCAGGCCAAAUAAACACCUCUACGAGAGCGAGUGCUGAAACGGGCGCAAUCCAUAGAAAUAAUGGACAAACAGCCGCAGCAAGAGGGUUGCCGCCAUACCUGGAACCCCCAGGAACACCGAUAAUAGCGUCUGCUACAGGUAACCCCUCUCCAAACUAUUAUCAGGAAUUUAACAGCGAUUUUUAUCAACGAUGGGUCCAGCUACUAAUCAAUGCAAUUUUAUUUACCAACCACCGUUACAAAAUAUCCAUAACAUAUUAAAUUCAGAUAUUUUUAGUAGUGUAGGAAAUUUUGAC
Molecule: long non-coding RNA, 2522 nt
Filed under: Anthonomus grandis grandis
Lineage: Eukaryota; Metazoa; Arthropoda; Insecta; Coleoptera; Curculionidae
Description: uncharacterized LOC126738123
Source: RNAcentral